This 253-nucleotide ribosomal RNA is filed under the name uncultured bacterium. RNAcentral describes it as "partial 16S ribosomal RNA". It matches the Rfam family "Bacterial small subunit ribosomal RNA", at positions 524 to 776 of the family's 1533-position model. The record is from RNAcentral.
UACGGAGGAUGCAAGCGUUAUCCGGAAUGAUUGGGCGUAAAGCGUCCGCAGGUGGCAAUGUAAGUCUGCUGUUAAAGAGUCUAGCUCAACUAGAUACAAGCAGUGGAAACUACAUAACUAGAGUACGUUCGGGGCAGAGGGAAUUCCUGGUGUAGCGGUGAAAUGCGUAGAGAUCAGGAAGAACACCGGUGGCGAAGGCGCUCUGCUAGGCCGUAACUGACACUGAGGGACGAAAGCUAGGGGAGCGAAUGGG